This 481-nucleotide ribosomal RNA is filed under the name uncultured bacterium. RNAcentral's name for it is "partial 16S ribosomal RNA". It matches the Rfam family "Bacterial small subunit ribosomal RNA", at positions 28 to 523 of the family's 1533-position model. The record is from RNAcentral.
GACGAACGCUGGCGGCGUGCUUAACACAUGCAAGUCGAGCGGAAAGGCCACUUCGGUGGUACUCGAGCGGCGAACGGGUGAGUAACACGUGAGUAAUCUGCCCCUGGCUUUGGGAUAGCCACCGGAAACGGUGAUUAAUACCGGAUACGACCACUUCUCGCAUGGGAUGGUGGUGGAAAGUUUUUUCGGCCAGGGAUGUGCUCGCGGCCUAUCAGCUUGAUGGUGAGGUAAUGGCUCACCAUGGCUUCGACGGGUAGCCGGCCUGAGAGGGUGAACGGUCAAACUGGGACUGAGACACGCCCAAGACUCCUACGGGAGGCAGCAGUGGGGAAUAUUGGACAAUGGGCGGAAGCCUGAUCCAGCAACGCCGCGUGAGGGAUGACGGCCUUCGGGUUGUAAACCUCUUUCAGCAGGGACGAAGCGCAAGUGACGGUACCUGCAGAAGAAGCACCGGCCAACUACGUGCCAGCCGCCGCCGUAA